This 899-nucleotide ribosomal RNA is filed under the name Thermotogaceae bacterium enrichment culture clone LB1_42. RNAcentral's name for it is "bacterial SSU rRNA". It matches the Rfam family "Bacterial small subunit ribosomal RNA", at positions 8 to 916 of the family's 1533-position model. Lineage: Bacteria; Thermotogati; Thermotogota; Thermotogae; Thermotogales; Thermotogaceae. The record is from RNAcentral.
AGAGUUUGAUCAUGGCUCAGGGUGAACGCUGGCGGCGUGCUUGACACAUGCAAGUCGAACGGUAUGUGGCAACACAUAGAGUGGCGAACGGGUGAGUAACACGUGGGAACGUAUCUUUUGCAGGGGGAUAACUGACCGAAAGGACAGCUAAUACCGCAUAAGUCCGGGAGGAGAAAGGUGCAACAGCAUCGGCAGAAGAGCGGCCCGCGGUCCAUCAGCUAGUUGGUGAGGUAAGGGCUUACCAAGGCGACGACGGAUAGCCGGCGUGAGAGCGUGGCCGGCCACAAGGACACUGAGAUACGGGUCCUACUCCUACGGGAGGCAGCAGUGCGGAAUUUUAGAUAAUGGAGGGAACUCUGAUCUAGCGACGCCGCGUGCAGGAAGAAGGUCUUCGGAUUGUAAACUGCUGUGGUAAGGGAAAAAUGCUAUGUAGAGUGGAAAGCUACAUAGAGGGAUGGUACCUUACUAGAAAGCCCCGGCUAACUACGUGCCAGCAGCCGCGGUAAUACGUAGGGGGCGAGCGUUACCCGGAAUCACUGGGCGUAAAGGGAGCGUAGGUGGCCUAACAUGUCAACUGUGAAAACCCGGAGCUCAACUCCGGACUUGCAGUUGAAACUGGUAGGCUUGAGGACGGUAGAGGAAGACGGAACUGCCAGUGUAGGGGUAAAAUCCUUAGAUAUUGGCAGGAACGCCGGUGACGAAGGUGGUUUUCUGGGCCGGUUCUGACACUGAUGCUCGAAAGCCAGGGGAGCGAACGGGAUUAGAUACCCCGGUAGUCCUGGCCCUAAACGAUGUUCACUAGGUGUGGGGAGCGGAAAGCUCUCCGUGCUAAAGCUAACGCGAUAAGUGAACCGCCUGGGGAGUGCGCCCGCAAGGGUGAAACUCAAAGGAAUUGACGA